UCAAGAAAGAAAGGGCGCCAGGUGGAUGCCUUGGCACAUGAAGACGACGAAGGACGUAAGUGAACGAAAACUAGGGCAAGCUCACAAAAAGCCAUAACCCCUAGGACUCCGAAUGGGGAAACCCGGCUGAUGAAGAAUCAGUCAUCAUUAAGCGAAUACAUAACUUAAUGAAGUAAGACCCUGCGAACUGAAACAUCUAAGUAGCAGGAGGAAAAGAAAGAAAACUCGAUUUUCCAAGUAGCGGCGAGCGAAAAGAAAACAGCCCAACCCAAUAAGAAAUAUAAGAGCAAGUCGAAUCAUUUGGGAAAAUGAACCAAAGAAAGUGAAAGUCUUGUAGAUGAAAGCUCAAAUAUUUUUGGGAGCAAGUAGCAGUGAACACGAGGAAUUUGCUGUGAAGACAGGGGGCCCAUCCCCUAAGGCUAAAUACUAACAUGUGACCGAUAGCGAACAAGUACCGUGAGGGAAAGGUGAAAAGAACCCCGCAAGGGGAGUGAAACAGAACCUGAAACCUAGUGCCUACAAGCAGAGAGAGCUCUAAAGAGUGAUCUCGUACCUUUUGUAGAAUGGGCCAGCGAGUUAUCAUAUCAAGCAAGAUUAAGUAUUUAAGAUACGCAGUCCAAGCGAAAGCGAGUCUUAACAGGGCGAGUAGUUUAAUAUGAUAGACCCGAAACCGGGUGAUCUAUCCAUGGUCAGAGUGAAGGUGAAGUAAAAUUCACUGGAGGCUCGAACCGGGUGCGGUUUAAAACGCAUCGGAUGAACUGUGGAUAGGGGCGAAAAACCAAACGAACCCGGAGAUAGCUGGUUCUCCUCGAAAUAGCUUUAGGGCUAGCCUAUGACUAAAGAUUUUAGGAGGUAGAGCACUGAAUGGCCUAGGGCGGCAUACCGUACCAAAGCCUAUCAAACUCCGAAUGCCAAAAAAUCAGGUCAUGGAGUCAGACUUAGAGGGAUAAGCUCCUAAGUCGAAAGGGAAACAGCCCAGACCGACAGCUAAGGUCCCAAAAUCUGGAUUAAGUGGAAAAGGAUGUGAACCUACCAAGACAACCAGGACGUUGGCUUAGAAGCAGCCAUACAUUCAAAGAAUGCGUAAUAGCUCACUGGUCAAGUGGGUUUGCGCCGAAAAUAAACGGGGCUAAAAUCCAGUACCGAAGCUUCGGAUUGAUAGAGAAUUUAAACCUAUCACAUAAAGGAAACCAUAAAAAAGGAAAAAGAAAAAACUUAACUAGGAAAUAUUAAAACACACAAUCAAGAUAAAACGAGUUAUCAAAAGCAGGCCCGUCCGGCCAAUAGAGGACAUUUCGUGUCUCCACAUCAUGAGACCCACGGAGUGGCGUCAGAGGUACGAACGAGUCAGCUAAACAAAUUACGCAAAUAUCAAACAAAGAUAAAGGUAAGAUCGUCAUACUAAAAAAAACAAUGACAAGAUAACUACGAUAUCACCGAAAAAAACAGACAUACAAAAAAGUAUGACCCUGGUUAAGCGUAUUCAAAAACCAAAAAAGUGGUUACUUAUGUAUAGAUUUAAACUCUCUAUCAGUGGUAGAGGAGCAUUGUAUUAGGGAAGAAGCCUAAGCGAAAGCAAGCGUGGACUUAAUACAAGAGAGAAUGCUGGCAUGAGUAGCGAGAAGGAGAGUGAGAAUCUCUCCCGUCGAAACCCUAAGGACUCCUGAGCAAGGCUCGUCCCCUCAGGGAAAGUCGGGCCCUAAGGCCAGGCCGAAAGGCGUAGCCGAUGGACAACAGGUUUAGAUUCCUGUACCGCUUAAAGUCGCUAAAGAGACGUGAUGACGCAAGAGGAUAAGCUAGCUGCCCGAUGGAUGGCAGUCUAAGCACAAAGGCUGAUUAGUAGGCAAAUCCGCUAAUCAAAAAGCUAAUGUGUAAUAGGCAUCGAAAACAUAAGUAGAGAAAUAGCCGACUUCAAAUUGCCAAGAAAAGUCACUAUCAAGACCAAAGCGCCCGUACCAAAACCGACACAGGUAGGGAGGUAGAGAAUACCAAGACGCGCGGAAGAACCUUUGUUAAGGAACUCGGCAAAAUGUCCCCGUAAGUUAGCGAGAAGGGGAGCCUGAGCGAUCAGGCCACAGAAACCAGGCCCAAGCGACUGUUUACCAAAAACACAAGUUUCUGCAAAAUCGAAAGAUGACGUAUAGGAGCUGACACCUGCCCGGUGCUGGAAGGUUAAGGGGAAGGCUUAGCGCAAGCGAAGGCUAGAACUUAAGCCCCAGUAAACGGCGGCCGUAACUAUAACGGUCCUAAGGUAGCGAAAUUCCUUGUCGGGUAAGUUCCGACCCGCACGAAAGGUGCAACGAUUUGGGCACUGUCUCAACAAAGGAUCCGGUGAAAUUGUAGUAGUCGUGAAGAUGCGACUUACCCACGCUAGGACGGAAAGACCCCGUGGAGCUUUACUGUAGGCUGAUAUUGGAUUUUGAGAUUAGACGUACAGGAUAGUUGGGAGACAAUGAAGUGUGUACGCCAGUAUACACAGAGUCACCCUUGGGAUACCAACCCUCUAAUAUCAAAAUUCUAACAUUGACCCAUGAAUCUGGGCAAUGGACAUUGUCAGUUUGGCAGUUUGACUGGGGCGGUCGCCUCCCAAAAAGUAACGGAGGCGUUCAAAGGUUCGCUCAGAAUGGACGGAAACCAUUCGCAGAGUACAAAGGCACAAGCGAGCUUAACUGCGAGAGACACAGCUCAAGCAGAGUAGAAAUACGGACUUAGUGAUCCGGUGGCACCGCAUGGAAGGGCCAUCGCUCAACGGAUAAAAGCUACCCCGGGGAUAACAGGCUUAUCUCCCCCAAGAGUCCACAUCGACGGGGAGGUUUGGCACCUCGAUGUCGGCUCGUCUCAUCCUGGGGCUGAAGUAGGUCCCAAGGGUUGGGCUGUUCGCCCAUUAAAGAGGCACGCGAGCUGGGUUCAGAACGUCGUGAGACAGUUCGGUCCCUAUCCAGCGUGGGCGUAAGAAAUUUGCGAGGAGCUGUCCCUAGUACGAGAGGACCGGGAUGGACAUACCACUGGUGUACCAGUUGUUUCGCCAGAAGCAUAGCUGGGUAGCUAAGUAUGGCAUUGAUAAGUACUGAAAGCAUCUAAGUACGAAGCAACCCUCAAGAUAAGAUUUCUAAAAGAAGGUAAAGAAAAUACCUUAGAUAGGUCCAAGGUGUAAGUACAGUAAUGUAUUAAGCUAAAGGAUACUAAACUUUAAAUCUUGACUGG
Molecule: ribosomal RNA, 3204 nt
Filed under: Anaerococcus provencensis
Lineage: Bacteria; Bacillati; Bacillota; Tissierellia; Tissierellales; Peptoniphilaceae
Description: bacterial LSU rRNA
Rfam family: Bacterial large subunit ribosomal RNA
Source: RNAcentral